UACGGGGGGUGCGAGCGUUGUCCGGAAUUACGGGGCGUAAAGGGCGCGUAGGUGGUUUGAUAAGGGUGUGGUGAAAGCCCGGGGCUCAACCCCGGGUCUGCCGUGCCGACUGUCAAACUCGAGGGCUGUAGAGGCAGGCGGAAUUCCGGGUGUAGCGGUGGAAUGCGCAGAUAUCAGGAGGAACACCGAUGGCGAAGGCAGGUCUCUGGGCCACUACUGACGCUGAGAAGCGAAAGCAUGGGGAGCGAACAGG
This 253-nucleotide ribosomal RNA is filed under the name uncultured bacterium. RNAcentral's name for it is "partial 16S ribosomal RNA". It matches the Rfam family "Bacterial small subunit ribosomal RNA", at positions 524 to 776 of the family's 1533-position model. The record is from RNAcentral.